UACAGAGGUCUCAAGCGUUGUUCGGAUUCAUUGGGCGUAAAGGGUGUGUAGGUGGCGCCGUAAGUCGGGUGUGAAAUCUCGGGGCUUAACUCCGAAACUGCAUUCGAUACUGCGGUGCUUGAGGACUGGAGAGGAGACUGGAAUUCAUGGUGUAGCAGUGAAAUGCGUAGAGAUCAUGAGGAAGACCAGUGGCGAAGGCGGCUCACUGGCCCGGAACUGACGCUGAGACGCGAAAGCGUGGGGAGCAAACAGG
Molecule: ribosomal RNA, 253 nt
Filed under: uncultured bacterium
Lineage: Bacteria
Description: partial 16S ribosomal RNA
Rfam family: Bacterial small subunit ribosomal RNA
Source: RNAcentral